RNAcentral lists this long non-coding RNA (784 nucleotides) under Ananas comosus (pineapple). RNAcentral's name for it is "long non-coding RNA (ACOM_LNC017192)". Lineage: Eukaryota; Viridiplantae; Streptophyta; Magnoliopsida; Poales; Bromeliaceae. The record is from RNAcentral.
GAUAAAUAAUUAACAAUAAUCUCUAAUGCAAAAAUUACUUUUGAAAUUAAAUAGAAAAAUAAAAUCCGUUAGGAAAUAAAUUUUUGAAAUUAAAUAGAAAAAUAAAAUCCGUUAUCUUAAAAAGAAAAUAUAUUUUGAAAUUAAAUAGAUAAUAUCUAAAAAAGAUAUUUUAAAAUAAAAUAGGAAAAUAUCUUUUAUAGAAUUUUCACACCCGUAAUCUGUUAUAGAAAACUUACUUUUGAAAUUAAAUAAGAAAAUUUAUUUUUUAGGAUUUUCACAUCAGUAAUCUGUUAUAGAGAACUUACGUAUUCAUUGCGGUUUCUAUUUCUAUUUUUAUUCUUAUGUUUAAAAUUUUUCGUACGGAAAGAAAAAAAUGGGUCUGUCGACAGACCCAAAUUUGAAUAUACGUGCUUAUAUAUAUAUAUUUGAGUCCGGCUACUAUAUUCUUAUGAGUAUAAACCUUUUUGUACUUAUACGUUUUUGACCGUUAGAUAUAUCUCUUUGACAAUUUUCACCCGUUAGAUCAUACUCUUCAACCAACCACAAACUCAAUCCUAGGGACCACUAUUGUCAUAACCGAAAACCACUAUCAUCCUAACCGUAUAUUUUUUUCAUCCAACGGUUGAAAAUUUAUGAGUACAAAGAGAUCUAUACUCAUAAGAGUACAGUAAUCCUAACUUGUAUAUAUAUUUCUAAACUUUGGUCCAUUUUGAUUCAAUUAUUUAAUCUUUUAAAAAUUUAAUUUUGGUACUCAAUUUUUUAAUUUAUCUAAUUUAAACUAUUU